CGGCGGACGGGUGAGUAACACGUGGAUAACCUACCUAUAAGACUGGGAUAACUUCGGGAAACCGGAGCUAAUACCGGAUAAUAUAUUGAACCGCAUGGUUCAAUAGUGAAAGACGGUUUUGCUGUCACUUAUAGAUGGAUCCGCGCCGCAUUAGCUAGUUGGUAAGGUAACGGCUUACCAAGGCAACGAUGCGUAGCCGACAUGAGAGGGUGAUCGGCCACACUGGAACUGAGACACGGUCCGG
RNAcentral lists this ribosomal RNA (244 nucleotides) under uncultured Staphylococcus sp. RNAcentral's name for it is "partial 16S ribosomal RNA". It matches the Rfam family "Bacterial small subunit ribosomal RNA", at positions 96 to 334 of the family's 1533-position model. Lineage: Bacteria; Bacillati; Bacillota; Bacilli; Caryophanales; Staphylococcaceae. The record is from RNAcentral.